Molecule: ribosomal RNA, 253 nt
Filed under: uncultured bacterium
Lineage: Bacteria
Description: partial 16S ribosomal RNA
Rfam family: Bacterial small subunit ribosomal RNA
Source: RNAcentral
UACGUAGGUGGCAAGCGUUAUCCGGAUUUAUUGGGCGUAAAGGGAACGCAGGCGGUCUUUUAAGUCUGAUGUGAAAGCCUUCGGCUUAACCGGAGUAGUGCAUUGGAAACUGGGAGACUUGAGUGCAGAAGAGGAGAGUGGAACUCCAUGUGUAGCGGUGAAAUACGUAGAUAUAUGGAAGAACACCAAUGGCGAAAGCGGCUCUCUGGUCUGUAACUGACGCUGAGGUUCGAAAGCGUGGGUAGCAAACAGG